GUUAUCGACACAUCCGAUAAGCCAGUUAAAUCUAAUGUUUUACCAGCUGGUACAGCCAGGUUUUCUAUGGUGAUAUCAUUACAAGAGGAUUUAAUUGCGUCAAGUUCGUCUAUUGACUUUCCCGUUAAAGUGCACGAUGUCGCCCUGUUCGAGGGAUCACUAAAAACUGUUGCGGAAGUUAUUUCUGAUGCUGCAACAGCUACCACACCCAAA
Agrilus planipennis (emerald ash borer) is the source of this 213-nucleotide long non-coding RNA. RefSeq lists it as uncharacterized. The transcript has 2 exons. Lineage: Eukaryota; Metazoa; Arthropoda; Insecta; Coleoptera; Buprestidae. The record is from RefSeq and is a predicted model, not a curated record.